AGUGAACGCUGGCGGUAGGCCUAACACAUGCAAGUCGAACGGCAGCACAGAGGAGCUUGCUCCUUGGGUGGCGAGUGGCGGACGGGUGAGGAAUACAUCGGAAUCUACUCUGUCGUGGGGGAUAACGUAGGGAAACUUACGCUAAUACCGCAUACGACCUACGGGUGAAAGCAGGGGAUCUUCGGACCUUGCGCGAUUGAAUGAGCCGAUGUCGGAUUAGCUAGUUGGCGGGGUAAAGGCCCACCAAGGCGACGAUCCGUAGCUGGUCUGAGAGGAUGAUCAGCCACACUGGGACUGAGACACGGUCCAGACACCUACGGGAGGCAGCAGUGGGGAAUAUUGGACAAUGGGCGCAAGCCUGAUCCAGCCAUACCGCGUGGGUGAAGAAGGCCUUCGGGUUGUAAAGCCCUUUUGUUGGGAAAGAAAUCCAUCUGGUUAAUACCCGGGUGGGAUGACGGUACCCAAAGAAUAAGCACCGGCUAACUUCGUGCCAGCCGCCGCGGUAA
This 506-nucleotide ribosomal RNA is filed under the name uncultured bacterium. Its description in RNAcentral is "partial 16S ribosomal RNA". It matches the Rfam family "Bacterial small subunit ribosomal RNA", at positions 29 to 523 of the family's 1533-position model. The record is from RNAcentral.